RNAcentral lists this ribosomal RNA (677 nucleotides) under uncultured archaeon. RNAcentral describes it as "bacterial SSU rRNA". It matches the Rfam family "Archaeal small subunit ribosomal RNA", at positions 659 to 1336 of the family's 1478-position model. The record is from RNAcentral.
CCUGUCGCGAAGGCGUCUAACUAGAACGGAUUCGACAGUGAGGACGAAAGCCAGGGGAGCGANCCGGAUUAGAUACCCCGAGUAGUCCUGNCCGUAAACGCUGCGAGCUAGGUGUUGCAUAUUUUUCGGGAAUAUGCAGUAUCGAAAUGAAGAUGUUAAGCUCGCCGCCUGGGAAGUAUAGUCGCAAGGCCGAAACUUAAAGGAAUUGGCGGGGGAGCACUACAAGGGGUGCGGCGUGCGGUUUAAUCUAAUUCAACGCAGAGAAUCUCACCAGGAACGACGGCAGAAUGAAAGUCAGGCUGAAGACCUUACUUGACGAGCCGAGAGGUGGUGCAUGGCCGCCGUCAGCUCGUGCCGCAAGGUGUCCUCUUAAGUGAGGUAACGAGCGAGACCUGUGCCUACAAUUACCAUCGACUCCUUUUGGAGGAUCGAGUACAUUGUGGGAACUGCCUUGGAAACAAGGAGGAAGGUGCAGGCUACGGUAGGUCUGUAUGCCCCGAAUUCCCUGGGCUACACGCGCGCAACAAUGGUAGGGACAAUGGGAUACAACUCCGAAAGGAGAAGUUAAUCCUCUAAACCCUAUCUUAGUUCAGAUCGAGGGCUGUAACUCGCUCUCGUGACGAUGGAAUCCCUAGUAAUCGGACGUCAACAUCGUCCGGUGAAUAUGUCCCUGUUCC